GAGCGAGGCUUGCCCGCGAAGGGAGCGCUGCGGUUUUCAGAUAGACCGCAUUAUCGUUCUUCGCGGGCAAGCCUCGCUC
Molecule: unclassified non-coding RNA, 79 nt
Filed under: Pseudomonas mandelii
Lineage: Bacteria; Pseudomonadati; Pseudomonadota; Gammaproteobacteria; Pseudomonadales; Pseudomonadaceae
Source: RNAcentral